RNAcentral lists this ribosomal RNA (876 nucleotides) under Triticum aestivum (bread wheat). RNAcentral's name for it is "partial small subunit ribosomal RNA". Lineage: Eukaryota; Viridiplantae; Streptophyta; Magnoliopsida; Poales; Poaceae. The record is from RNAcentral.
CUUGGAUACUAAGGUGCUCGACGUCCUUGACAACCCAACCUUACCGGAGGAGACACAAGAUCUGUGACUCAAUGAUGACGUCGACCACCUUUUCCUCCAGUCAUCUCUAAUUAAAGGAUCGACCAGAAUUAAGACCCAAUGAAAGAAAAGAGACCACAUAAGGGAGGAUUUGCUAGAAUAUAAUCAAAUGUCUCCCUCAUGUAAAAUCAUCAUGAUGCAAUAAAUAUACUACCUACGGUACCUAAGAAUCAUUACGGGUACUUGUACUACCAACGUACAAGCACACCCUGGCGUUCAUGGGGUACUUGCGCGGCGACUUUCUCUGCCAGUGGUUGUAGAUCGGCGUCCAUCGGUUCUAGCUCCUACCGCACUUUCAGUACCAACGACACCGGGUUCAGUUCGACUUCUCUCAUCUUUGUGCAUGUCAAGACAACCAUCAACACAGGGUUUUUCGGUACCUCACCUAAGACAUGAAGUCCAAGCGACCGAGUCUUGAACCUUCGCUUGUUCACGGUACCGCUUGACGAAACUCGAACUACUUCACGUAUACUUCCGUUUCCAACGACCUACAAUGUAUGAGGGAGGCAAAGUUUUAUCUACUGGGUUAAAACAUAAUUACGAAAUGAAAGUUUAAGAGACUUAAGAAAGUGCAUUGUAAAGAACGAAUAUCCAAGAUAGAACAAAAUUCAACGGACCACCACAUACUCGUUCCGACCUCUAUAUAUCCGAAUAUCAGGUUGUCAGUCUCCAACUAAACGAUAAGGAGCCAGAUACAUUUACAUAUUUAGCUACUACUACAUGUUUGUUUACUAUAAAACAAAAAAUCCGGAGACGUAGACCCUCUACGUGCGCCAGUAAAAUAACUAAUAAGAAAUC